GACGAACGCUGGCGGCGUGCUUAACACAUGCAAGUCGAACGGAAAGGCCCUGCUUUUGUGGGGUGCUCGAGUGGCGAACGGGUGAGUAACACGUGAGUAACCUGCCCUUGACUUUGGGAUAACUUCAGGAAACUGGGGCUAAUACCGGAUAGGAGCUCCUGCUGCAUGGUGGGGGUUGGAAAGUUUCGGCGGUUGGGGAUGGACUCGCGGCUUAUCAGCUUGUUGGUGGGGUAGUGGCUUACCAAGGCUUUGACGGGUAGCCGGCCUGAGAGGGUGACCGGCCACAUUGGGACUGAGAUACGACCCAGACUCCUACGGGAGGCAGCAGUGGGGAAUAUUGCACAAUGGGCGGAAGCCUGAUGCAGCAACGCCGCGUGCGGGAUGACGGCCUUCGGGUGGUAAACCGCUUUCGCCUGUGACGAAGCGUGAGUGACGGUAAUGGGGAAAGAAGCACCGGCUAACUACGU
This 467-nucleotide ribosomal RNA is filed under the name uncultured bacterium. RNAcentral's name for it is "partial 16S ribosomal RNA". It matches the Rfam family "Bacterial small subunit ribosomal RNA", at positions 28 to 506 of the family's 1533-position model. The record is from RNAcentral.